GUGCCGUAGUAGGAGACAUAAAAAGGUGUUGUACGACUGUUUAAUUAAAACAAAGCACUCUGCAUAAGAUCAUAAAUCUAAGUAUUGAGUGUGACGUCUGCCCGAUGUUGGCUGGUUAACGGAGUUUCUUAGCUGAUGAAGUUAGGUUGUGAAGGAACCCCCAAUCAAUGGCGGCCUUACCGAUGAGGGUCCUAAGGUAGC
Molecule: non-coding RNA, 201 nt
Filed under: Morus notabilis
Lineage: Eukaryota; Viridiplantae; Streptophyta; Magnoliopsida; Rosales; Moraceae
Description: Bacterial large subunit ribosomal RNA
Rfam family: Bacterial large subunit ribosomal RNA
Source: Rfam by way of RNAcentral